AGUGAACGCUGGCGGUAGGCCUAACACAUGCAAGUCGAACGGCAGCACAGUAAGAGCUUGCUCUUACGGGUGGCGAGUGGCGGCCGGGUGAGGAAUACAUCGGAAUCUACUUUUUCGUGGGGGAUAACGUAGGGAAACUUACGCUAAUACCGCAUACGACCUACGGGUGAAAGCAGGGGUUCUUCGGACCUUGCGCGAUUGAAUGAGCCGAUGUCGGAUUAGCUAGUUUGCGGGGUAAAGGCCCACCAAGGCGACGAUCCGUAGCUGGUCUGAGAGGAUGGUCAGCCACACUGGAACUGAGACACGGACCAGACUCCUACGGGAGGCAGCAGUGGGGAAUAUUGGACAAUGGGCGGAAGCCUGAUACAGCCAUACCGCGUGGGUGAAGAAGGCCUUCGGGUUGUAAAGCCCUUUUGUUGGGAAAGAAAAGCAGCAGGUUAAUACCCCGCUGUUCUGACGGUACCCAAAGAAUAAGCACCGGCUAACUUCGUG
RNAcentral lists this ribosomal RNA (492 nucleotides) under uncultured bacterium. RNAcentral's name for it is "partial 16S ribosomal RNA". It matches the Rfam family "Bacterial small subunit ribosomal RNA", at positions 29 to 507 of the family's 1533-position model. The record is from RNAcentral.